CUAUUAGUGGCCUAAACAUACAGAAGAAGUAAUAAAACAUUUUUUUUAAGUAAAUGUAUUACUCCUGAUGUCACAUGUUGCCAUGGAAACGUCCAAUGACAAACGGCUGAGGUGCCCCAUGACAGAGAAGAGAAGACACAGUUGGUGAGACAGUUGUGCUAAAGGCAAGAGGGGGAAAUCCCUCGGAGCGAGAGAGAGAGAGAGAGAGACAUAAUAUGACAUUUGAAAUGUCUCUAUUAUUUUGGAACUUUCUGCUUCUUGUCGCGUUACGUAACGUCCCCCUAUCACUCGACUGGCCCGCGGGGCGUCAGCGUGAAAUUAUGGGAAAACAAAAGGGUGAGGAGACAGGUUGAGCCAAUUAAACGAUGCAAAAGCCAAGGGAUAUGCCUUUCGGUAUUGUUCUUGCCUGGGAGGGAAAAUGUCACAGCAGUGGCGCUGGUGCUGGCGCUGCUUUGGAGCGGAUCUGACACUCCGCAGAGGGAGGUCAAAGGCCACUAACAGAGUGGUUGGAACAAAACAGAAGCAGUGGGUGGUCCGGGGGAAGAUGGCUGACUCACCUCUGGUGGUCCAACAUCAAGAGGACUGGAGGACAAAGACAAUAAUACAUGGAGCAGCUUCCUGGACUCUCUGUCUACUCUGGCUGCACAGGAAAUGGAGCAGCUCCCUGGACUCUGUCUAAACUGGCUGCACAGGAAAGGGAGCAGCUCCUUAGACUCUGUCUACUCUGGCUGUACAGGAAAUGGAGCAGCCCCCUGGACUCUGUCUACUCUGGCUGCACAGGAAAUGGAGCAGCUUCCUGGAUUCUGUAUACUCUGGCUGCACAGGAAAUGGAGCAGCUCCCUGGACUCUGUCUACUCCGGCUGCACAGGAAAUGAAGCAGCUUCCUGGAUUCUGUAUACUCUGGCUGCACAGGAAAUGGAGCAGCUUCCUGGAUUCUGUAUACUCUGGCUGCACAGGAAAGGGAGCAGCUUCCUGGAUUCGGUAUACUCUAGC
Molecule: long non-coding RNA, 993 nt
Filed under: Salmo salar (Atlantic salmon)
Lineage: Eukaryota; Metazoa; Chordata; Actinopteri; Salmoniformes; Salmonidae
Description: lncRNA (ENSSSAG00000088809.1)
Source: RNAcentral